Molecule: ribosomal RNA, 448 nt
Filed under: uncultured bacterium
Lineage: Bacteria
Description: bacterial SSU rRNA
Rfam family: Bacterial small subunit ribosomal RNA
Source: RNAcentral
AGCGAACGCUGGCGGCAGGCUUAACACAUGCAAGUCGAGCGGGCGUAGCAAUACGUCAGCGGCAGACGGGUGAGUAACGCGUGGGAACAUACCUUUUGGUUCGGAACAACACAGGGAAACUUGUGCUAAUACCGGAUAAGCCCUUACGGGGAAAGAUUUAUCGCCGAAAGAUUGGCCCGCGUCUGAUUAGCUAGUUGGUGAGGUAAUGGCUCACCAAGGCGACGAUCAGAGCUGGUCUGAGAGGAUGAUCAGCCACAUUGGGACUGAGACACGGCCCAAACUCCUACGGGAGGCAGCAGUGGGGAAUAUUGGACAAUGGGCGCAAGCCUGAUCCAGCCAUGCCGCGUGAGUGAUGAAGGCCCUAGGGUUGUAAAGCUCUUUCGGCGGGGACGAUAAUGACGGUACCCGCAGAAGAAGCUCCGGCUAACUACGUGCCAGCCGCCGCAGU